GGCUCUGGGCUCUUCCCCUCGCUCCCACCGCGUCUGCUUCUCCGCCUCCUCGUUCCCCCUCGUUUUUCCAGUGACCCCCCUGUUGGACCGCCCGCCUCGUAGGCAGCCUGCAGCCCUUCAGCUCCCUCCAAAUGUCUGGUUUAAAACAUCAGUAUGAAAGUCAAUUAGAAAAGGAGCCAACAAUGAUAGAGGUGGAUUCUGUUGUGGCACAGAGAAUGAGUUCAGCCAGCUUCAUGAGAAAGACUUGAUAGUUUGGUUGAAGCUGAAAUGUGACCUUAGUGUGACAGGAGAUCUCAGUUCAAAAUGCUCACUGAACUUUUCUCUGUCCUGCCUUCAACCCUCAGCCUACAUCACAGGCUUGAGCAGGACACAAGUGGAAUUCCAGUUUGAACAGCCCUCAGUUUUCUAAGCCCAAAUAAGGUAACUUAAAAUCCAAAUCUCUUAAAUUCCGGUUCAGUCAUGUAUGAGUCAAAUUUUCCAAGCUACUCAGGUGGUAUUACUUCAUUAGGUCUUGAGUCACCUGUGUCUAGGCUGUGGAUUUACAAUAAGAGCUUUAGUCCUUGUUCUGCACCCCAAUAGUGUAAGUCUGCUGUUAAUGAGGAGGGAGAUUUUCGUAUCAACUAACUAAAGGCACCUAAAGGUAUAAUUUUGAAAGCUGUUUAAACUGACGCUAGCUAUUUCAUAUCUAGAAAUGAUGUGAUCCGAAUCCUUUAAGAACUUAUUCUACCUUUUGAAAUUUUACUCAAAGGUAUUAGGGCUAGAUAUUAUCAUAGUUUAAACAAAAUAAAGCUGUUUUCUCCUUCUUUUGUCCUCA
This 814-nucleotide long non-coding RNA is filed under the name Anser brachyrhynchus (Pink-footed goose). RNAcentral's name for it is "lncRNA (ENSABRG00000018554.1)". Lineage: Eukaryota; Metazoa; Chordata; Aves; Anseriformes; Anatidae. The record is from RNAcentral.